Molecule: non-coding RNA, 1736 nt
Organism: Aegilops tauschii subsp. strangulata
Lineage: Eukaryota; Viridiplantae; Streptophyta; Magnoliopsida; Poales; Poaceae
Source: RefSeq, a predicted model, not a curated record
CCUCCGGUGACUGCAGCGCCGCCGCCGUUGAGUUCUCAAAUCCUGCUAGCGGCGCGCCUCACUUGAGCCACCCGAUCGGGGACUUGUUGACGAUUCCUCCGCCUGCCCUGCGGAGGACUAAGGAGCUCUUGGUCUGGGAGCAAGCAGGGUAUGUUUCGCCUCUUCCAAUCAGAGUGCUUCUUCAGUUGGUCUCAACUACUGAUGCUAAUGUUAGGUAGCGCCUCACCUGCAGCAAUUGUUGCAUCAUCUGUUUGUUUACCUCACAACUAUCAAGAGUGCAAAGUAGAUGUUGAUUCAUAAAUAUAUUCAUAGUCACAAAUUGAUGAUGAUUAACUGCCAGCCCAACUGGAAUCAUAAAAUGGACUGCACAUAUAAACUAGUAUUGGGCACUCAGAUUCAAAGAAGAAAUUGCAAAGUUCUUUUGGAUUCUUGUUUAUAAGAUAACAAUGGUCAACCAUUAGUCCUAGUCUCUUUCUUCUGUCCUGCCUUGUACCAAAUGCUCAGGGAUCCUAUCGUGUAUUGUAUUGUAGUGGGAAUGUCGCAAUUAUUAUUGUAUUGUAUUGUAUUGUAUUGUCCCCCUGUAGUUUGUACUGCCCCUGUAGUUUGUUUGUAAAAAUAUGAAGUACUUCUUGCUUGAUCGAUCACUGUAGGCCCCUUAUCACUGUAGUUUGUUUGUAAAAAUGUUACUGCUGCUUGUCAUUUUAGCAAUCUUGCUUGUCAUUUGAUCGAUCACUUCUUCUGGAUCCUUAUCACUGUAGGCCCCUGUAGUUUGUACUGCUCUCGGGUCAUCAAGAACGUCCGGUGCCGGUAGCUCAAGUAACCUGAACUCCUCACAGCAGAGUUUCUCCAUAUGUAAGCUUGCUGCAUAUAUGUCAUUUCAGGGAGAAAAAUACAAAGAUGAACACACUGCAUUAGAUUUGUUUAAAGAAUACCACUACAGCAACUAGAAGAAAGGGUACAACAACACCAUACAAUCUGCAGUUGUAAGUCAGGGUUUGAAGAGUGCUAACCAUGUCACAAUGCUUACUUUUUUCAGUAGAUCCUGUAGUACAAUAAUCAGUAAUUAUAAAGUCAUACUAAAGAGAGGUAGAAGAAUAAUGUGACUUUGAAACAAUUGAGCACAUAUCACUUGGCAACGGUUGGAUGAUUUAUGACACUUCCAUAUCAUAUCUUGCUACAUGGGUUCAAUUUAUUUUAUCCAUUUUGGGCAGUUUUCAUGAUGGUGUAUUGUGUAUGCCCUUGCUAUAUUUGAUUCCAUUAUUUCUUAGAAGAUUACUUGAACCUAAUCUUUUGCAUAAUUAGAUGUCUUCAUCUGUACAUCAUAUACAUACAUGUGAUCAAACCAAGGGAGAUCAUGUUUGUUUGUUGCUUGCAUUGCUAAAAAACAGUAGCUACAAUUUGUAAAAAGCAUGUUAUAGAAACUUUGCCAUGUUAUAGGAACUUUUAUCUAAGAGUUUGUUACUUGCAUUGCUAAAAAACAGUAGCUACAAUUUGUAAAAAGCAUGUUUGUUGCUUGCAUUGCUAAAAAACAGUGGCAAAUUUUUAUCUAAGAGUUUGUUCUAUUUGUAUUUAUCUAAAGAUUAGCAUGGCAAUUUUCUACAUGGCACAAUCUUUUAGCAUGGCAAAAUAUAGGAUGAUAGCAUCCUAAUUUUUUCAUAUGGCAAAUAUGAAGAAAAGCAUCAACCUAUACCUGAGGAAAAAAUCUGCAGCUAGUGACCUGUGCAAAAAACAGAAAA